Dreissena polymorpha is the source of this 469-nucleotide long non-coding RNA. RefSeq lists it as uncharacterized. The transcript has 3 exons. The record is from RefSeq and is a predicted model, not a curated record. NCBI's taxonomy places the organism in Eukaryota, Metazoa, Mollusca, Bivalvia, Myida, Dreissenidae.
AGGUUAAGGUUGGAACAAGUUGUUGUCUUCUGGACAUGGAAAACUACAUGAAUGAAGGAAAGGAUGCACGUUUGCCAUUCUUAAAAAAGUGGUCCACCUUUGUUCAGACUUCCUGUUCUGCAAGUUCAGUUGACUAUAUGCCGCGUUGGGGUGAUACCUUAAAUGAGUCUGCUGUUGAUAUGAACAACAUGGAUCGUUCUGACGAUGGUGAAGUGGAGAUGGUGGCGACAGAAGAUGACACUGCAAGUUAAGCCUAGGAGGAAUCCACACCAGGGAAGCUCUCAAAAGUCUGCUAAGAAGAGGACAUAGCAAGCUGUCCACCAUUAAAGAGAACUUAUAUUCACUGCUGUCUACAGCUAUAGCAUUGAUGAUGGGGUGACAACACAAUACUGCUCAUCAGGGAAAGCAGAAGCGUAUCACCUUUGUUAGGGCUGUUUUUGACCUGAUUUUAUAGCCGAAAUCGGCUAUA